Molecule: transfer RNA, 73 nt
Filed under: Felis catus (domestic cat)
Lineage: Eukaryota; Metazoa; Chordata; Mammalia; Carnivora; Felidae
Rfam family: tRNA
About the family: Transfer RNA (tRNA) molecules are approximately 80 nucleotides in length. Their secondary structure includes four short double-helical elements and three loops (D, anti-codon, and T loops). Further hydrogen bonds mediate the characteristic L-shaped molecular structure. tRNAs have two regions of fundamental functional importance: the anti-codon, which is responsible for specific mRNA codon recognition, and the 3' end, to which the tRNAs corresponding amino acid is attached (by aminoacyl-tRNA synthetases). tRNAs cope with the degeneracy of the genetic code in two manners: having more than one tRNA (with a specific anti-codon) for a particular amino acid; and 'wobble' base-pairing, i.e. permitting non-standard base-pairing at the 3rd anti-codon position.
Source: Rfam by way of RNAcentral
GCCUGGUUGGCUCAGUCGGAAGAGCAUGUGACUCUUAAUUUCCGGGUCGUGAGUUCGAGCCCCAUACUGGGUG